RNAcentral lists this long non-coding RNA (17197 nucleotides) under Zostera marina. RNAcentral's name for it is "long non-coding RNA (ZMAR_LNC003810)". The record is from RNAcentral. Lineage: Eukaryota; Viridiplantae; Streptophyta; Magnoliopsida; Alismatales; Zosteraceae.
UCUUUUACGGGUAGACUCACACCUUAGAGUAUCAAGGGCACUCUUAAGAACCUCUAACUUUUACGGGUAAGUUAGUACCUUAGAGUAUCAAAGAACUCUUAAAAACCUAGAAAUCUUUCAAGGUAGAUUCGACCUAAGAGUUUUCCCGGAAACUCUAUAAAAUCAAACUAGAGCUUUAUGGUUGAGCUCGAAAACCUUCUCUCACACUUUGGUACUAUUGAGACAACCCUCUCAACCAAAGUGGACACACACAAGAGGUGAUUAGAGGAGUGGAAUAUUAAAGCAAACAAUACUUCUUACUUGUAAAGAUGAACAAGAAGAUUAGAAAAAGAAGUUGGAAAGCUUUUGAAGCAUUGGAAAGCUAAGACACUUGAGCACUUGAAAGCUUGGAAGCUUGGAGGCAAAACGUGUGGGCAAGUGUGGAGUGAAAGCUCUUGAGUUUGCUUGUAGUGUGGUGAGUGAAAAUGAGGGGUUUACCCUUCUAUUUAUAGCCUUGGUCACUCAAUGUCCACCCUUGGAUCUUCAAUGGAUGGCUCCUUGAUUUCUCACAAAAAUCCAAGCUUUGUCUUUGAUCUUAUCUUGAAUAGUGCUUUUCUUGGAUAGAGUUUGUUGGAGAAUCUUAUCUUUGUAUAAAUUUAAACUUGAAUAGUGUUUUGUCCCAUUGAAAUAUUAUACAUUGAAUAAAGUAUCGAAAGAUAAUAAUAAUAAUAUUCAAGGUAAAAAUGUAAUUAUUCCAAAUACUAAUAUUCAAGGUAAAAAUGCAAUUCUCCCAACUUGACUUUUAACUUUGACUUAAAGCCUUAACUCAAAUGAUUAAUUAAUUAACUAGAGUUAGGUUUAAUAUCGAUUGGCUUAUUUAACCCCUAUUGAUUAAUAGUGUAAUUAGGGUUUAAAUUGACAUGAAUUAAAAUAUAAUCCUAUGUCGACAAUUUUGUUUCUACAUUCUCCCCCUUUGUCGAUGGCAUAUAUGUUUUAAUUCAUGUCUAGUCAAUAUUCUAUUUUACCCUUAUGAGCAUGCUCCCCCUGAAUUAUUGACCGAUAAUAUUCAAUUUAAAAGCCGUGGAUCAUGCAUGAUUUCUCCCCCUUAAAACAAUAAGGUAUCGACAAAGUUAAAAUAGAUACUUGUGAAAUAUCUCCCCCUUAAUGAUAGGACAUAUCUAAUUUGUGGAGAAAAUAAAACUUCAUACCUUAUUGAGCUUUGAUCACAAAUUUGAUUUGUGUGGUUGACCAAAUGUGACGUCUUGUUUAUAAGAGUGUUAGUCAAUCAUAAAGGAGAAAUAACAUGUAAUUUAUGCUCAUUGAUAAAAUAUUGGAUUGAAGCCAAUUUUGAUAUACAUUAUAAGGCAAGGAUGAUAAUUUAAAUUGCCUUGUGCUAAGAUCAUGCAAUGAAUAAUAAUCCAUGUGUGUGUUAUGGAUGAAUAUGAUCUUAACAUUUAUGGAUUUAAAGAUUUUAUAAUGUUAUAAUCCAUAAAAUUAGUGACAUAUAAAUAAGCAUUUAACUUCGAAAGAGUAUUAUUUAAACAUUGGAAGUUUUGUUGAUUUUCAUGUUUUAGUGAAUCAUGACAUGUGUGUGAUAUGAUAUUGAUAUUCAUUAAAUUACUUUAAGAAAAAGGUUUUAAAAUCCAUGUCUUAGUGACAUAUAAUCAUGCAAAUAUUCACUAAGUUUUAAAAGAUUUAAAAAUUUCAUUUUAGUCCUUAAAGUAGUAAUAAUAAAACUUCACUUAAAAAAAAUUUCAUUUAAGCCAUUUGAAGUUAUAAUGAAUACUUAGAUUAAUACUUAAAAAAUUUCAUUUUAAACCUUGGAAGUAUUAAAUAUUUCUAAGUAAUUUUUCGAUUAAAACUUCAUGUAAAUAUUAAUUCUAAGUCCCUGAAGUUUUACAUAAAUUUAUAUUCACUGUAAAGAUAUCAUUUUGACCCUUAAGUUUUAGUGAAUCUAUUAAAACUUAAAAACUUCAUAAACGAUUUAUGUUUAAGUCCUUGAAGUUUCACAUAACUUUAUAUUCACUGAGAAAUAUAAUUUUAAUCCUUAAGUUUCAGUGAAUCAUUUUAAACUUAGAAACUUCAAAAAUAGUUUAUGUUUAAGCCCUUGAAGUUUCUGGCUUAUCCAUGCAACCCUUAAAUAUUUGAAUCUCUAAAGGAUCUUGAAGAUAUGGAGUUAAUCAUAUUUAUUUAAUGGUUGGAUUUUUGAUGAUUUUUGAUGAUGAACUGUUUAAGAAUCAUAUCUACUCUUAAGUCUUUAAUACUUAGUGAGAAAUUGAUUAUCUAAGAGCUAGCUAGGAUCUUAGCAAGGCUUGUACUUUAGUGACUUGUAUCUUAGCAAGAUAUUGAUUCUUAAUUUUACUCGAUAAUAGAUAAUGCUGAGUUUUAUCUCAUCAUGUCUUUAUCUAUUAUCGAAAGCUGUAAGCUGAAUAAUAGUCAAUUUAGAGCAUACCUUUUGGUGGUCUCAAGACACCUUUUGGCAGAUUUUGUCUCUGUUGCAAGUGCUCCAAUGUCGAGGAUGUGGUUGCCGAAGUCUUGCAGGUGCUGUAGCUCGGCUUGCGUUGUGUUAAGUCUUGCAGAUUUCUCAGAUCUUUCUCCGGGUUUUGCGAAAGUUGUGUAUAGUAAUUUAAGAUCACGUUUUCCAGAGCUUAUUUUAACCAAGAACAGAUGCAAUAGUGUUUCAUAUAUAGUAUAGAGCAGUGCAUGUGUUAUAGUUUAAAUCAUGCAUAAGAUUUUGUUCAUGUCAAUUAUGCAAGUAAUUUUAUUUCAUUUUGCAUACGUGUGCAAUAGCAUGUGUAGGAUUACAAGUAUAGUUAUCAGCAUAUGCUAUGACAUAUUUUAACCCAUAGGCAUGUCCAUCUAAGCAACUAUUUAUAGUAACAUGGUAUAUAUAAUAGACAUACAUUUAAAUUAAGCUCUUUACAUAGUUUUAAGUCAUGCAUAAGAUCAUUUUAUUUGUGCACGAGUACAUGUAUAACAUUAUAUGAUAAAUUAAAUUAGCAUGCAUAUACUUAGUUUAUUGCAUGAGUUAUAUAUUACGAUAGUCAUGCAUAUAGGUCUUAGAUUUAUAUCAAUGCAUAUCAAUGUGAUCUUAGUUUAAAUAUUAAGAUUAAAGCUUGAGAUGCAUUGACUAAUAAUUAAUCAAAUUUCACUAAGCUCACAUAUACUCAUAGAUCUUCUGAUUUUUGAAUGAACUUCUUGAUCUAAGGGUUUAGUGAAGAUGUCAGCCAUUUGAUCUUCAGUAGAAAUAUAUUCUAGGCAGAUAUUUUUCUUUUCUACAUGAUCUCUAAGGAAAUGAUGUCUGACAUCAAUGUGUGUAGAUCUUGAAUGUAACACAGAGUUUUUUGAUAAACAAAUUGCACUCUUGUUGUCACAUUUAAGAGCUACUGUUUCUAAAGCUAUAUCGUAGCCAGAUAAUGUUUGUUUCAUCCACAAAAUUUGAGUGCAUGCAUUAGAUGCUGCCAUAUAUUCUGCUUCAGUUGUGGAUAAAGCAAUACUAUUUUGCUUUUUACAUGACCAUGCUACAAGUGAGCUUCCCAACAGAAAGCAUGUUCCACUAGUGCUUUUUCUGUCAGUCUUACAUCCACCAAAGUCAGCAUCACAGUAUGUUGUCAGUGUGAAUGAGUUGUCCUUAGGGUAGAAUAAUCCAAGUGUAAUUGUUCCUUUGAUAUACCUGAUUAUUCUUUUAACCGCUUUGAGAUGUGACUCUUUUGGGUCUGAUUGGAAUUUGGCACAUAAGCAGAUUGCAAACAUGAUGUCUGGUCUGCUGGCUGUUAGGUAUAACAGUGAUCCAAUCAUUCAUCUGUAUUUCUUAAUGUCUACUGAUUGACCUUCAACAUCUUUAUCCAAUUUAAGUGUUGAACUCAUCGGAGUUGGCAUAGAUUUAGAUUCAGCCAAGUCAAAUUUCUUUAUCAAUUCCUUAGCAUAUUUGACUUGACUUAGGAAUAUUCCAUUCUCCUUCUGUUUGACUUGUAGACCUAAGAAAAAAGUCAACUCUCCCAUCAUACUCAUUUCAAAUUCGUCUUCCAUUUGUUUGAAAAAUUUCUUAUAUAGAGUAUCAUCGGUUGAUCCAAAUAUAAUGUCAUCAACAUAGAUUUGGAUUAGAAUAAUGUCAUGAACAAUGUAUUAUCUAUACUCUCCAUUCUAAAUUCCUGAGAAAUGAGAAAGUUUCUUAGUCUUUCAUACCAAGCUCGAGGUGCUUGUUUCAAACCAUAGAGGGCUUUCUUAAGUUUAAGGACAUGAUCGGGGUUUUUGUAAUCUUCGAAUCCGGGGGGUUGUCUAACAUAUACUUGUUCAUUGACUAUUCCAUUCAGGAAUGCACUCUUUACAUCCAUUUGAUAUAAUUUGAAAUCCUUAUAGCCUGCAAAGGAUAGGAGCAUUCUGAUAGAUUCUAGUCUAGCUAUUGUUAUGGAAUAAGCAUUGUUUUUCCUAUAUCCUUUAGCAAUUAUAACUCCCUUGGAGUUAAUGAUUGAGCAUAGAUGUUUUUCAAAUUUAACUGUGCAAUCAUUAUCACAUAAUUGGCUUAUGAUGAUAAGAUUAUGUUUAAGGCCAUUAACUAAGUAAACAUCUCUAAGAAAUGGUCUAUCUAUAUUACCUAUAUUACCCCUACCUAUAAUGGUACCUUCGUUGUUAUCGGCGAACUUGACCUUUGGUGAGACAUGCCUGAUUACGGCAGUCACUCCCAGCAACGCCUUUCAACAAGGACUAGAGUUCCGUCGCUUUGGCCGGACCCCCGGAGAGCUCCCACGGUGCGGAACACGUUCAUCGUCCAGAUCGCCGAGUUAGCCCGUAAGUCGCCGGUUGGACUACCAAGUCGCCGACAUUAGGGAUAAGUCGCCGAGUUAGGGCCAAGAUCGGCAGUAUGGUAGACUGCACAUCUUGCCCCUGGAAACUCGGCGAGUUAGCCCUAACUAGGCGACUUCCAUACCUGAAUCGUCGACUUACGACCGUUACUCGCCGACAGCCAACGUCAUAAAUGUUACCAUAUAUGACCAUAGGCGCGAUGUCCGCCUUUGAUUGCGCCCUCCGAGACCCUAUAAAAAGGGUCCUAAGGGGACACUCAAAGGCACAACACAAGUUCCACUCUCACCAGAGUAUCACUAAAAAACUCGGCGACUCUCACUAGAAUAGCCUAGUUUCUACUUGCAGGUAUUUGACGUAGAGCGCGCGUCGUGGACUCCAGAGCCUCCGGGAUCACCUCGCACCACCGCGAGCCCUGGCAGCAGAUUCAGUACUUCAUCAGCUGGCGCCGUCUGUGGGACUACCGAACCACCGGUAUCCCGUCGUAAUCGCGAUUUUUUUUGCAAAAUCCGGUUUGAGCUCUCCUAGAGGGUUCGCCGAGUUUGUGAAAAAGUCGCCGAGUUAGAUCGUCCGAUUCUCGGUCCAGGUCCGAUUUAGCCUUAAAUCGUCGACUUAUCUUUGAGAAUCACCCGAUCCGGAAUAUCAUCUGCUAGCUAAGAGUGCUGUCCACGACCUUGUUCGGAAAACACAUCGAAAUCUAAAGUCACCGAGUUUUCCCCUAACUCGCCAACUUGUUUUUUGUUUUUCCGAACAAACUCAGUCAGGUCACCUCCCCGCUUUGGUACUUCUCCGCUUUUGUUUUCAUGGCAAUCAUCGAAAAACAAAAGCACCCUUACGCCAUAAGAAAUAAGGGUAAAAUGUCAGCAACUGAGCUGGAGCAGGGCGAGCAAUCCCGACCAAAGGGACCCAGCAAUGCUCGACCUGAUGAAACAAACUCGGUUCCUCCACACAUCGAGGAACACAUAGUGCCCAAGGCUCCACCCACCUUGGAAGAAAGGUUGUUCAGUUUUAUGAACAACAUAGAAAGAAGGAUGACUAACCUCAAGUAAGCGAGGAGUCAAAGGACCACCACCAUCCGCGAAAAAGCAGAUGAAUCUGGGUCCAUCUACUCUCCAUCUGCGGAGAAAACCAAACAGAGUUCCCGUCUUAAAAUGGGACCCAGUAAGAGUCGCUCCGAAAGGACUCUUACCACUCGGUUUGUAGAGGAUCUUCGUCGGAAACUGGCCACCGACCCAGCUGUCGGCAAUCCACACGAGAUCCUAAGGAUCAAAAGUGCUCCUCUUCGCGAAGACCUUUUAAGGGGAUCUUUCCCACCUACCUGGCGGGUACCCAGGAUUGAAGCGUAUGACGGUUCAAGUGAUCCACAAGAUCACGUGAACCUCUACCUUAACAUCCUGGAACCGCAAACCAUCGAUGAUGGGUUGUUGUGUCGGGCAUUCCCCGGUACUCUCAAGGGCAGUGCUUAUCGAUGGUUCUCCGGUCUGCCAGCUGGCACAAUCACCAGCUUCGCAGACCUCUCAUCCAAGUUCAUCGCCCAGCAUAUGGCGAUGAUAAGGAUUAAACACAGUGCCAACGCACUUCUGGCACUUCGACAGGAUAAGCUGUCUCUGCGGGAUUAUACGAUCAAGUUCACAACAAUGAUGAUAGAAGUGAAUGAUCUAAUCUCAAGUGUGGCCAUAGCGGGAUACAUCAGAGGAUUGGUCCCCUACUCCUCUCUGGCCCAAAAUCUGACUCUCCACAAGGUGGACUCUCUACCCGACCUCUUCCAACGCGCUCAAUUGUACAUUGAAGUGGAAGAGGAGGAUGAGAACAAGCUAGCUGAACUUGGGACUCCUAGCUUUAAGAAACCUAAGUUUGAGAGGAAGGGGUACAGUGGAAACAACAAUUUCCACGACACCUCUAACAGGUACACCAACAACAGGGCUGAAACUUCCAAAAAAGAAUGGAAGCCUAGGCACGAUAACAAGGUGUACCAAACCUCAACCAGCCAAACGCCAAAGGGUGCAACUCUACUAUGGAAAAGAAACACCCCGCUUACAAUCAGCAAAGGCGAGCUGUUUGAGAAGCUAAAGAACCGAGCAGAUCUACCUGCCCCUCGGUCUUUAGACCCUGCAAGCAAAGAUGGCCGCACGCAAACUGGGAAAUACUGCAAAUUUCGCAAGGACUGCGGCCAUCUAACAGACCAUUGCAGGGAAUUCUCGUCUUUUGUCGAGCAGUUGAUCUCAAAGGGAAAACUUGGCAACUUCGUCAAAAGAUCCCGAGGACGAGACAAUUGCAAAUUUGACCCAAAGGGGAAGCGUCCACGCUCUCCUUCGCCAGAUAGUGACAACAGCGAGAACCGCCAACGGAAGACCAUCAAUAUGAUAUUUGGUGGUGGAUCCGUUGGCAGAAUAGAGGAUAUGCCCGAAAAGUGUUGAUGUCACAAUCAACACCUCGAGACAACGGAAAACGGGUCCGCGAGGAGAAGUCAAUAUACUUCUUCAAAGAGGACCUGGACGAUGUCCUGCAACCUCACGAGGAUCCACUCGUGAUCCAAGCAGACAUCGGUCCCGAGUCGAGAGGAUGAUUGUCGACAGCGGCAGCUCUGCGGACAUCCUUUAUAUGGACACUUUUACCAAGAUGGGCCUUAAAAGGGAGGAACUAUCUCCCUGUAAGGAAGCCAUCUACGGUUUCACUAACAUCGCCGCCCCAGUGGCCGGUGUUAUUGAUUUGAAAGUCUCCAUCGGUUCCAAGCGAGGAAGGGUUAGCCGAACGUGUCAUUUUAUAGUAGUGGAAGUAGAAUCCACUUUUCAUGGCAUAUUCGGACGCCUCUUCAUCCACGGAAUCCAAGCAGUCCCGUCCUCUUAUCACCAAUGCAUUCGAUACCCAUUAAACGGGUUCGUUGCAACUGUCAAAGGAUCACAAAAGGAUUCUAGACAGGGGCAUAUGAAGGCAACCCAGCUGACAAGGCUUAACAACAUGCUCAUCCAUGCCCCACCUGACAUCGAGGAGAGGGAAAAAUUACAACAUGUGGACGAGACUGAGGUAUAUCAGCUGGAAGGGGGACAAGUGGCAUUAGGGAAGGGGCUACCCCCUUCCUUAAGAGCCAGGCUUGUGACUGUCCUGGAGGAGCACCAGGACAGGUUCGUUUGGGAGGGUGAGGCACCGACACAGAUUGCGCAUCAUAUCAUGACGCACAAACUUAACGUCGACUCAUCCAUUCCAGCUCGACGCCAGAAACGUCGAGUACUCACUUCUGACAGGCGGGAGGCAGCCAAUGAGGAAAUAUCGAAACUCCUGAAUGCAGGGCACAUUCGGGAGGUUCGAUACCCGACUUGGUUGGCUUACCCCGUCCUUGUCAAGAAGCCCAAUGGCAAGUGGCGCAUGUGUAUUGAUUUCACUGAUCUCAAUAAAGCAUGCCCCAAGGACAGUUACCCGUUGCCAUCUAUCGACGAACUAGUCGAUGGAGCAUCCGGUACGAGCUCCUCUCUAUGAUGGAUGCCCACUCAGGAUACAACCAAAUCCUAAUGCAUGAGCCUGAUGAGGAAAAAACAUCCUUCAUCACGGACGCAGGGACAUUCUGUUACAGAGUAAUGCCAUCCGGCUAGCUUAAGGAAUGCUGGGGCUACAUUCCAAUGCUUGAUGGACAAGGUUUUCGCAAACCAGAUUGGGCGCAACGUUUCCGCUUACGUCGAUGAUAUCCUAGUCAAGUCGUCAAGCAUGGAAAAACACCCUGAUGAUCUGAGAGAAACCCUUGAUACAUUAAAGCAAUACGGAAUGAAGCUCAACCCAGCCAAGUGCGCAUUCGGAAUCAAGGAAGGCAAGUUCCUUGGUUUCUAUGUAGGUCAGCACGGGAUCAAACCUAAUCCCGACAAAAUCCAAGCUAUCCUUGAAAUGGAAGCCCCCCGCACAAUCAGAGAAGUACAAAGGUGGACGGUCGAAUUAGCGCACUCAGUCGUUUUAUAUCACAAACGGCUGACAAGUGUAAACCGUUCUUCCAAUUACUGAAAACUGCGGCUAAGGGUAGUAUCACUUGGACACCAGAGUGCGAGGAGGCAUUUGCGAAAUUAAAAGCGCAUAUGUCCUCACUCCCCAUGCUGACAUCACCCAAAGAGGGAGAGGACCUAUACUUAUAUAUAGCGGCCUCAGAAGAAGCCGUGAGUGCGGUCCUCAUUGCGCAGAGGGAAACGGACCAGGUCCCUAUAUAUUACCACUCGAGGCGACUACAAGGUGCUGAACUACGAUACUCUCCUAUCGAGAAGAUCGUAUUUGCAGUGAUCCAUGCUUUUCGUCGCUUUCGAGUUUACUUCUUAGCGCACACGAUUGUGGUACUAACAUCGUGUCUUUUGCGCCGUCUACUUCACAAACCCGACAUUUCUGGGAGGUUGACCAAAUGGACAAUCGAACUCAGUGAAUUCGACUUAGACUUCCGACCAGCCACUGCCAUCAAGAGGCAAGCUGUGGCAGACUUCAUUGUCGAAUUCACACAACCCAAUUUGACCCAACCUUGGGUUGUAGAAGUGGACGGCUCGAGUUGCAGCACAGGCUCGGGUAUCGGAGUGAAAAUCCAUAGCCCGGAUGGAAAAAACUACGAACACUCGGUACGACUUCACUUCCCGGCUUCUAACAACGUCGCGGAAUAUGAAGCGGCCAUACAUGGCCUGAAGCUGUUAAGAACUCUCGGCGCUGAGAAUGUCACACUCCGCACUGACUCCCAGCUCGUGGCUCGGCAAACCACUGGUGAAUUCGCUUGCAAGGAACUACAAAUAACCAAAUAUGUGGAGGCGAUGGUAGCACUCACUAAGCAGUUCGCCGAGUUCAAAAUCGAGCAAAUCCCUCGAAUCCAAAAUUCACCCGUCGACGCUUUGGCACGUUUAGCAUCAGCCUGGGAAGGAGGGCAACGCGAGAUUUUAGUGGACUCUAUACUCCAGCCCACAUUCCAAGUAUUGGCUGUUACCUCCAACCCCCAAGAGGAUUGGAGACAACCAAUGUUGGCAUUCAUUCAGAAUGGAGUACUUUUUAACAAUAAAGGGGAGGCCAAAAAGUUGAAACAUAAAGCAGCGAAAUAUUGUGAUAUCGGAGGGGUGCUUUACAAAAAGUCCUUCGAUAGCCCGCUGCUACGCUGUUUGGCCCAACCCGAUACAGAUAGGGUUAUUCAGGAAGUACACGAAGGCUCGUGCGGACUCCAUGAAGGAGGAAGAGCACUGGCCUUCAAAAUCAUAAGGCUAGGAUACUAUUGGCCCACUCUAAGGUUGGAAGCUCGCACUUACGUCCGCAAGUGCCGAGCAUGUCAGCUGCACAGCCCCAUGCAGCAGAAACCAUCCGCGGACAUGACUCCGAUUCUGAGUUCAAUCCCAUUCGCAAGGUGGGGGCUGGAUAUCGUAGGUCCAUUCCCCUCCUCAACAUCCCAGGCUCGUUUCAUCUUUGUAGCAGUAGAUUAUUUUACAAAGUGGGUCGAGGCUCAGGCUGUAGCAAAAAUCACUCAGGAUGCGGCAGUUAAGUUCAUCUACCGCUCCAUAGUCUGUCGAUUCGGAAUUCCCCAAGACAUUGUCACGGACAAUGGCACACAAUUCACAGGGGGAAAAUUUUCAAGAAUGUGCGAAGACCUAAACAUAAAACUCCACUUCGCCUCCGUUUACCGACCUCAGGCAAACGGGCAAGUGGAGGUUACCAACAAGGCCAUCGUGCAAGGAUUGAAAAAGAAAAUCGAAUCUGCCAAAGGGACUUGGGCAGACAAGUUGUGCGAAAUCCUAUGGGCAUAUCACACAACGAGUAAAAACCCCACGGGCAACACCCCUUUUGCUAUGACCUAUGGAGUGGAAGCGGUCGUACCAAUCGAGAUGAGUAUACCAACGUAUCGAAUCUCGAAGUACGACCAACAAACAAAUGACCAAAACCUAGCCACAGAGCUAGAGUUGAGGGACGAAACCCGUGACGAGGCGGACCUGCGAAACGAAUCGUACAAGGCAAGCGUAUCAAGGUACCACAAUCGCCAAGUACGCAAAAAAGUUUUCUUGCCAGGAACUUUCGUCACGCGAAAAGCUAGCAUAACAGAAAGGAAUAGGCCAAGAAUUAAACUAUCAUCCAACUUCGAAGGUCCCUACAUCGUCGAAGAGGAAAAAAGGCCAGGAAUUUAUCGCCUACGACGACAGGAUGGAACGAUGGUUCCAAACACCUGGCAUGCGGACAACAUGCAGCAGUACUACGCAUAGUACUCAUAGCAUUAUGUUUAUUUUCUUUUUCCUAGUAUGUAUGUUAGUUAAUUAUAGAAAUCUAUUUUCAUAUUCUAACCCGUAAGGAUACCCUAAAAAAUCUAUUGUGUCGCUUCAGCCUCAGUAGAACAAAGAUCAUUCCGUCGCUACGGCCCCAAUGAUUCUAUCCAAUCUUGUCGCUUCGGCCUUGAUACGGAUCAAUAAGUCACUCCGUCGCUAGGAUAGGAGUCAGACUACAUCCUCAGGGUUCAAAUCCAGGGUUAGAACGAAUAGGUCCAAUUCAGACACGCGAACCUAGAAUUGCGACCACAACCCAUAUUCGCACGAGCGAAUCAGGAAUUAGUGGAUGUUAUAUCAAUCUAUUUUCAACCCUAAAAGUUAAUUUAGAAGUAUAAAUUAUUUUCGAGUUGAACUAGUAACUAAACUACGAUUCGUACGACCAAGCUUACGCCCUAAGUGGCUAAGUAGAGUUAACAGAAUCUAACUUACGUCCAGAGCUCGGAGACUCGACGGUGUUGAGCACCGCCUCUAAGCUCUCAUCAAUGUCUGUGUUCAAAAUGUCGGCGACCAGAGCUUCGGUCUCCGACAUGGUGAGUUGGGGAAGCGACGGUUGGUCUGCUAUAUGUCGGCGAUAUAGGAACAAAGUAGGCGACUUAGUGGUGAGUACUGGUGAUUGUAAUGCUUGUCGGCGAGAUAGGAAGAGACUCGGUGACUUAGCAAAGGAUUAGGGUUUAGGUGAUUUGGGGGAAAGUGAUGUGCGGAUUAAAAUAAUCGAUUCGCUAUUUAUAGACCUUGGACAAAUUGCAAAAACCCCUCGGAAAAUUCAGAAAUUACGCGAAGGAAAAUCGCUAAUUGAUUUCCAAAUCUACAAAACUCGGCGAGUUUCCCGCAAACUCGCUGAGUUUGGGCAAAAAUCACGGGAUACGAAGGAGGAACUUCCAUAUUUGGAAAAUUUGCAAAUAUUUCCCAAGAUCCCAAGGAUUUUCUAAGAAAUCCGGCAGCUCAUAUUAAGAGUCGCCGAGUUUAUAAGAAAGUCGUCGAUCUAGGUCAGCAAACCUCUAGGCUUCUCACAGAACAACCCCGAUACUAAGUCGUCGAGUUAAUACAUUAAGUCCCCGACUUAGGAUAUCACAUAGUAUCUUAGGGGGGGAGUAUCACAAGCUCCUUUCAGCAAACCUCUAAGUUGCUCACAGAACAACCCCGACACUAAGUCGCCGAGUUAAUACAUUAAGUCACCGACUUAAGAUAUCACAUAGUAUCUUGGGGGGGAGAAUCACAAGCUCCCUUCAGCAACAAAAGGAGAGUACCACAAGCUCUCCCGGCAUUUCUGUCGCUCUGGCCAGAAAUCGUUAUAUUUCAGAGGGGAGUAUCACAAGCUCUCCCGACAUUUCUGUCGCUCCGGCCAGAAAUCGUCAUAUUUCAAAGGGGAGUAUCACAAGCUCUCCCGACUUUUCUGUCGCUCCGGCCGGAAAUUGUCAAAUUUCGAGGGGGGGUAUCACAAGCUCUCCCGACAUUUCUGUCGCUCCGGCCAGAAAUCGUCAAAUUUCGAGGGGGAGUAUCACAAGCUCUCCCGACACUUCUGUCGCUCUGGCCGGAAGUCGUCAAAUGUGAGCACGGUAAGUCUGUCGCUUCGGCCAGAGUUACCAAAGAUUGGUCCGUGCAAAAGGAGAAUAUCACGAGAGGUAAAAUCGCACAGUAAGUUAAAUUGGUCAAUAAUAAUAUGCGUUUUAGACUGAUUUAGUUGUUUUGCAGGAAGUUUUCUUUUUUGCAGGUAUUAUUCUGUCGCUUCGGCCAGAACGUUUUCUUUUUUGCAGGUAUUAUUCUGUCGCUUCGGCCAGAAUCAGACUCUGAUAGUGAGUCAAUCUAUCUUGCCGCUUUUGCCUUGAUAGACUAGAGAUCAUUCUGUCGCUUUGGCCUUAAUGAUCUCAACCCAUCUUGUCGCUUUAAGCCUUGAAGGGGUAACCGUCGUUGCGGACAUUAAGUCGCUCUUGAUCAGGGUGGACUAUAAACAUUAGUUCUAUCGCUUCGGCUAGAACUCGGUUCUAUCGCUUCGGCUAGAACCCGAUUCUGUCGCUUCGGCCUGAAUCAGAUUCCGUCACUUCGGCCGGAAUUAAUCUUGUCGCUUCGGCCUUGAUAAACACAAUGCAGUCGCCCAUGAUCAGGGUUAGACUAUAAAUAGGGAGUUUCCGUUGGCCUAGAAUUCGAUUCUGUCGGUUCGACCCUACAGAGUCAAUCCAUUCUUGUCACUUAGGCCUUAAUGGAUACGAAAUCAGUACGUCACUGUGGGCGGAAUAAUUCGAUCUCAUCUUGUCGCUUCGGCCUUGGUGCGGAUCACACACUGAACCUUGGUUGGGGGGGGUACUGGCGAUACAUGCAUGUUUCUUGUGCUCUCUUCAGGGGGGAGUACUGGUGAGACAUGCCUGAUUACGGCAGUCACUCCCAGCAACGCCUUUCAACAAGGACUAGGGUUCUGUCGCUUUGGCCGGACCCCCGGAGAGCUCCCACGGUGCGGAACACGUUCAUCGUCCAGAUCGCCGAGUUAGCCUGUAAGUCGCCGAUUGGACUACCAAGUCGCCGACAUUAGGGAUAAGUCGCCGAGUUAGGGCCAAGAUCGGCAGUAUGGUAGACUGCACAUCUUGCCCCUGGAAACUCUGCGAGUUAGCCCUAACUAGGCGACUUCCAUACCUGAAUCGCCGACUUACGACCGUUACUCGCUGCCAGCCAACGUCAUAAAUGUUACCAUAUAUGACCAUAGGCGCGAUGUCUGCCUUUGAUUGCGCCCUCCGAGACCCUAUAAAAAGGGUCCCAAGGGGACACUCAAAGGCACAACACAAGUUCCACUCUCACCAGAGCAUCACUAAGAAACUCGGCGACUCUCACUAGAAUCGCCUAGUUUCUACUUGCAGGUAUUUGACGUAGAUCGCGCGUCGUGGAUUCCAGAGCCUCCGGCAUCACCUCGCACCACCGCGAGCCCUGGUAGCAGAUUCAGUGCUUCAUCAACCUUCUUAGUAGUAGGCAAGUCGGUCAAGUCUGUCAGCAGACUUGAAUCUCCAGUCAUGUGCCUUGUGCAUCCACUGUCGAACAUCCAUUUUGACACAUAUUUUUCCUGAAAGAGUUGAAUAACCUUUUGGUACCCAUACUGCAUUGGGUCCAGAUGAAUUAACAUAGUUGAUUUGCUUAUAAUUUUUUAACUCAUCCUUGGUCAUCCAUUUUUGUUUUGGAUGAUUCAUCUUAGACAGAUCUUUCUUUUUCUUAAGAUGAAUAGGUUUUCUGUAGCUAGAUUCUCUUACAAAAUAAUCAUUAUAAGUUAAAGCAUGUAAAGGUUUUUUAAUAGGUGCAUUUGAUUCAAACCCUAAGCCAAAUUUCUUUUGACCUGAGCUUGAACCUUGCAUCAUGUCAUUUAGCUUAGAUGAACUAUUUAAGAAUUUUUCAAGAACAUUAUUCUUCUGACCUAUUCUUUUGAUUGGUAAUUGCAUAUCAUUACAUUUUUCAGAUAAUUUUUGUAUGGUUUCUACAUGCUCAAGUAUGAUUUUGUCCUUAGAUUCUAUUUCUGUAUUGAGCAUGAUUGUUUCUUUUUCUUUUAACAUAAUAUCUUCUUCAAAAUUAUCUAUUAUUAAUUCUAGCAAUUCAAUCUUAUCAUCAUCUAUUUCCUUAGGUUGAUUUUCUUCAAAUUCUAAAAUGUUAAGCAAUUCAAAGUUUUGACUCUUAAGUAUCUUAAUUUUUUCUUCAUCUUUGUUUAAUUUACUUGUGAGUUUUAGAUUUCUUUCUUUCAAUUGCAUGCAUUCUUUUGUGAUUCUUCUAAUUCAAUAGAUUGAUCUAUAUGUGAUUUAUUCAUGCAUUCUAGUUUUAAUGACUUAGUUAAUUUUUUCUCAUUUUUAUAUUUUUCUAUUAAUUCUAGAUAUGUUUCUUCUAAAAAAUUAAAUCUAGUAUUUGCAAAACUUACCUCAGAGUUGCUUUCAUGAGCCAUGAGACAAUCUUCUUGAUCCGAGUCGGAGUCUGUCCAUUGUGCCUGAUUUGCUCUUUCUUUCUUUAGCAGAGGACAUUCUGGUUUGAUGUGUCCAGACUUGUUGCAUAGAUAACAGAUUGGUUCUUUUGACUCUUUGCUCAUUCUUCUGUCGAACUUCUGAUGACUUGACCUUGAGUCUUUCUUCUCUUUCCUCUUUUUCAGAUAUCUUCUCAGAUGAUUGGUGAUCAUUGCUAGAUCAUCUUCUGAUGUUUCAUUGUCAGGUUGACUUUUAAGAGCAAUAUCCUUUUUCUCUUCUUUAGCUCUAGAGAUGAAUCUUUCUUCUUCAUAGGCCAUCAGAUUUCCACAGAGUUCCACAACUAUAAGUUUGUUGAGAUCAUGAGCCUCUUGGAUAGCAUUCCUUUUGGAGUAGUACUUGUUUGGAAGGCUCCUCAGAAUUUUGCUUACUUGCUUCUUCUCAGUUACUGGAUCUCCUAGUCCAGCCAGAUCAUUAACUAUUUGUGAUAGUCUAAUGUUCAUCUCUGCGAUAGUCUCGUCUUCCUUCAUAGAGAAUCUUUCGAACUGAGAGGUAGCAUGUAACAGCUUGUUUUCUUUAACAUGGGAGGUUCCUUCAUAUAGAUCCUCCAAUGCUUUCCAUACCUUAUGAGUUGUAUUCAAGUAUCGAAUUCUGCUGUACUCAGAUUCAUUGAGUGCUCCAUAUAGAGCAUUCAAUGCUCUUGAGUUGUUGUUUUCCUUGAAGAUGUUCAUUUCUCCCCAAGUCUCUUCAUUGCUUGUUGGAAUUUCAUAAUCCUCUAAUAUGAUCUUCCAUACUCCAUUGUUGAUUGACUUCAAGUAUAACUUCAUCUUGUUCUUCCAGAAGUCAUACUUUACUCCAUCGAACCUGAGAGGUUUGUUUGACGCAAGACCAGUGUUGAAUUCACCAUUUGGUGUCAUAGUUGUUGUUGUAAGAUGUUAGUCAAACUUCAAUGGUACUUGGCUCUGAUACCACUUGUUGGAUCGAGAUCCGAGGCUACAAGGGGGGAUAAUAGCCUCUUUUCGAUUUAUGCAGAUUAAUAGCGGAAUUACCUGCACACACUUAAGUACACAAAUGGUUGUAUAAUAAUGAUAUAGAGAUAUUAUGACUUUGAUUGAUAUAAUAACGUAAUUAUUACUCUUCGAAGCUUACCACAGUAUAUGAAUACUGAGUCAACUUGCUUGAUAGUGUUUUACAAACAACUAUAGUAUAUGAGUACUAUGUUAUAUUGUAAACACAAAUUGUAUUGUAGAGUAAAUGACUAGAUAACUGGAUAUAUUGAUAAGCAAGUAAAUGACCAGAUAACUGGAUAUAUUGAUAAACAAGUAAAUGACCAGAUAACUGGAUAUAUUGAUAAACAAGUAAAUGACCAGAUAACUGGAUAUAUAUGAUAAGUAAAUGCUUGAACAAAUAUAUGAAUAAAAAUUUAAAGCAAUGAAUAUAACCUCAUAUAGUUGACCAGAUAACUGGAUGAGGGAUCUGCGUAAAGUAGUCAACCUCUGUAUUUGACCAGAUAACUGGAAGAGGGAUCCUUUUCAAUUAAGUGUUUUUUAGUUGUUUUUAGAUGAAAGAUAAAAACUAAAGUUAACAAAGAACAACACAAGAGAUUUAUACUGGUUCACCCAAACAAGGGUUAAUCCAGUCCCGACCAACUGUCGGAAUUCACUCGCCUAAAGGUUAUGGUAAAACCUUAGAGUAUCAAGGAAACUCUUAAGAACCUCUCUAAGCUUUAAGGCUACUUCGCUUAGGAACCAGUCUUUUACGAGUAGACUCACACCUUGAGUAUCAAGGGCACUCUUAAGAACCUCUAACUUUUGCGGGUAAGUUAGUACCUUGGAGUAUCAAGGAACUCUUAAAAACCUCUCUAAGCUUUAAGGUUACUUCUCUUAGGAACCAGUCUUUUACGGGUAGACUCACACCUUAGAGUAUCAAAGGCACUCUUAAGAACCUCUAACUUUUACGGGUAAGUUAAUAGCUUAGAGUAUCAAAGAACUCUUAAAAACCUAGAAAUCUUUCAAGGUAGAUUCGACCUAAGAGUUUUCCCGGAAACUCUAUAAAACCAAACUAGAGCUUUAUGGUUGAGCUCGAAAACCUUCUCUCACACUUUGGUACUAUUGAGACAACCCUCUCAACCAAAGUGGACACACACAAGAGGUGAUUAGAGGAGUGGAAUAUUAAAGCAAACAACACUUCUUACUUGUAAAGAUGAACAAGAAGAUUAGAAGAAGUUGGAGAGCUUUUGAAGCUUUG